Molecule: unclassified non-coding RNA, 380 nt
Filed under: soil metagenome
Description: partial contains 5.8S ribosomal RNA, internal transcribed spacer 2, and large subunit ribosomal RNA
Rfam family: 5.8S ribosomal RNA (bases 1-120)
Source: RNAcentral
GAUGAAGAACGUAGCGAAAUGCGAUAAGUAAUGUGAAUUGCAGAAUUCAGUGAAUCAUCGAAUCUUUGAACGCACCUUGCACCCUUUGGCAUUCUGAAGGGUAUGCUCGUUUGAGUGUCAUUGUACUCUCACACUCCCGAUCUUUGCAUUGGGAGCAGUGGACUUGGGUUUGCUGCUUCACCGUCGCUUACCUCAAAUAGGUUAGUGCAACUCUUGGUUGGACAUAGUACGGCGUGAUAAGUGUUCUUCGCCGGUGCCUCGCAAAGAGGGUGGCCGAUCGGGAUGUUGUGCUCCAAACCGUCUUCGGACAAUCUCUGACGACUUGACCUCAAAUCAAGUAAGACUACCCGCUGAACUUAAGCAUAUCAAUAAGCGGAGGA